AUUGAACGCUGGCGGCAGGCCUAACACAUGCAAGUCGAACGGUAACAGGAAGCAGCUUGCUGCUUUGCUGACGAGUGGCGGACGGGUGAGUAAUGCCUGGGAAACUGCCCGAUGGAGGGGGAUAACUACUGGAAACGGUAGCUAAUACCGCAUAACGUCGCAAGACCAAAGAGGGGGACCUUAGGGCCUCUUGCCAUCGGAUGUGCCCAGAUGGGAUUAGCUAGUAGGUGGGGUAACGGCUCACCUAGGCGACGAUCCCUAGCUGGUCUGAGAGGAUGACCAGCCACACUGGAACUGAGACACGGUCCAGACUCCUACGGGAGGCAGCAGUGGGGAAUAUUGCACAAUGGGCGCAAGCCUGAUGCAGCCAUGCCGCGUGUAUGAAGAAGGCCUUCGGGUUGUAAAGUACUUUCAGCGGGGAGGAAGGGAGUAAAGUUAAUACCUUUGCUCAUUGACGUUACCCGCAGAAGAAGCACCGGCUAACUCCGUG
RNAcentral lists this ribosomal RNA (490 nucleotides) under uncultured bacterium. RNAcentral describes it as "partial 16S ribosomal RNA". It matches the Rfam family "Bacterial small subunit ribosomal RNA", at positions 30 to 507 of the family's 1533-position model. The record is from RNAcentral.